RNAcentral lists this long non-coding RNA (1221 nucleotides) under Gallus gallus (chicken). Its description in RNAcentral is "lncRNA (ENSGALG00010009027.1)". Lineage: Eukaryota; Metazoa; Chordata; Aves; Galliformes; Phasianidae. The record is from RNAcentral.
UAAAGGUUUUGCUUUCUGCAGAGAAAGAAUAGAGAUUUUCCUGGAAUCAGGAGAGUUUUAUGUUUAAGCCCCUUGACACAAGGGAAUUGAGCCCCCAAACUUUCAUGUUCUAGGUUGGUAUUUGGAAGGAUAAGCUCUUCAGAAGAGAUGCUGCUGGUAUUUCUUCCUUAGGAAGCAUCCCCAAGGGCUCCAUGGGACCGCAGAACAACUCAGGAUGAAGGAGACCUUGGGCUUAGCACCUUGUCCAUCCUCCGGAUAAUCCUUCACCAAAAUGCCACGUAGGAGUCCCACCACUGCUGUCUGUUCUUUUCACUGUACAGAGAGUGGUGGGAUCAGGACAUUGCAGUAGAAUGUUUGUACAGUUUUACUACUGAAGGAGAAAAAAAGAAGUCUGGCUGGCACUCUUACACGCCAGGACAGAUCAGGCAUGACCCAGUGCUCCAAGGAGUCAUUUCUUUCCUCCUCAAGGCAACUGCACAGCACAUCUUUCUGGAAGGUCUACAGAUAAUCACCCCUCACUGUUACCCACUAUGAACGAUUCCAUAUUCUCUAUGUGUACAUUUAAUACAUCCCUUUAAAUUGAUGCAGAAUGCUGGGGAUCCCCACUCUUUUUCUCUUAGCUCUUUAACGUGACUGAUGAACAGUUGGCUAAUCCCUUCCCUCAGUAUGAGGCAGGAAAAGGAGCUGCUGACACUAACAAGGAAAAAAGGAAGGUGGUUAUUCCUGGAGAAGACGCCUCUCUCCUUAAUAGCCUGACACAGUGAGGUGGCUGCCUGCAGAUUGGGAAACAGUUUCCAAAGCUCAUCAUCACCCAAGUGAGGUGGUUGCCACAGCAGGUCAGUCCCAGCACUUCCAGCCCUGCUGACCAGCGACUGAGUCAGGCUCUCCUGGCCCUGGUCACACCACUCUGCCUCGUGUUCAUGACAGCAAUCUUCAGCUGCUCAUGGUAAGACGACAUAAAACAUACCCUAGUUUCUCAUUUUAGGACAAUGCAAAACAUGCCCUCGUUUCUCUUGUGUGGCCUUUGCCUGAAUUACUCAGUUCAGCAUUGCUUGCCUUAGUCCUGAGCACAUCCCUCUGGCCCUUGCUCCCUGAUGAAUCUCUCCCACCACCUCUUUCCCAGUGACCAAGCUGAACUCAUAGAAUCAUAGAAUUGUUUGAGCUGGAAGGGACCAUUAAAAGUCAUCUAGUCCAACUGCAACGAACAGGGACACCUACGGC